This 468-nucleotide ribosomal RNA is filed under the name uncultured bacterium. RNAcentral's name for it is "partial 16S ribosomal RNA". It matches the Rfam family "Bacterial small subunit ribosomal RNA", at positions 28 to 507 of the family's 1533-position model. The record is from RNAcentral.
GACGAACGCUGGCGGCGUGCUUAACACAUGCAAGUCGAACGGAAAGGCCCUGCUUUUGUGGGGUGCUCGAGUGGCGAACGGGUGAGUAACACGUGAGUAACCUGCCCUUGACUUUGGGAUAACUUCAGGAAACUGGGGCUAAUACCGGAUAGGAGCUCCUGCUGCAUGGUGGGGGUUGGAAAGUUUCGGCGGUUGGGGAUGGACUCGCGGCUUAUCAGCUUGUUGGUGGGGUAGUGGCUUACCAAGGCUUUGACGGGUAGCCGGCCUGAGAGGGUGACCGGCCACAUUGGGACUGAGAUACGGCCGAGACUCCUACGGGAGGCAGCAGGGGGGAAUAUUGCACAAUGGGCGGAAGCCUGAUGCAGCAACGCCGGGUGCGGGAUGACGGCCGUCGGGUUGUAAACCGCUUUCGCCUGUGACGAAGCGUGAGUGACGGUAAUGGGUAAAGAAGCACCGGCUAACUACGUG